AACGAACGCUGGCGGCAUGCCUAACACAUGCAAGUCGAACGAAGGCUUCGGCCUUAGUGGCGCACGGGUGCGUAACGCGUGGGAAUCUGCCCUUGGGUUCGGAAUAACUCAGAGAAAUUUGAGCUAAUACCGGAUGAUGACGUAAGUCCAAAGAUUUAUCGCCCAAGGAUGAGCCCGCGUAGGAUUAGCUUGUUGGUGAGGUAAAGGCUCACCAAGGCGACGAUCCUUAGCUGGUCUGAGAGGAUGAUCAGCCACACUGGGACUGAGACACGGCCCAGACUCCUACGGGAGGCAGCAGUGGGGAAUAUUGGACAAUGGGCGAAAGCCUGAUCCAGCAAUGCCGCGUGAGUGAUGAAGGCCUUAGGGUUGUAAAGCUCUUUUACCCGGGAUGAUAAUGACAGUACCGGGAGAAUAAGCUCCGGCUAACUCCGUG
RNAcentral lists this ribosomal RNA (433 nucleotides) under uncultured bacterium. RNAcentral's name for it is "bacterial SSU rRNA". It matches the Rfam family "Bacterial small subunit ribosomal RNA", at positions 29 to 507 of the family's 1533-position model. The record is from RNAcentral.